CUGCCCUCAAGCACGGCUUGUGUGUUGGGUGCGGUCCCCCCGGGGACCUGCCCGAAAGGCAGCGGCGACGUCCGUCGGGUCCUCGAGCGUAUGGGGCUUUGUCACUCGCUCGGGAUGGACCUGCGGGAGUUGGUCACACCACCUAAUUUUACCAC
This 155-nucleotide unclassified non-coding RNA is filed under the name uncultured Talaromyces. Its description in RNAcentral is "sequence contains ITS2". Lineage: Eukaryota; Fungi; Ascomycota; Eurotiomycetes; Eurotiales; Trichocomaceae. The record is from RNAcentral.